GACGAACGCUGGCGGCGUGCUUAACACAUGCAAGUCGAACGAAGAGCGAUGGAAGCUUGCUUCUAUCAAUCUUAGUGGCGAACGGGUGAGUAACGCGUAAUCAACCUGCCCUUCAGAGGGGGACAACAGUUGGAAACGACUGCUAAUACCGCAUACGAUCCAAUCUCGGCAUCGGGACUGGAUGAAAGGUGGCCUCUAUUUAUAAGCUAUCACUGAAGGAGGGGAUUGCGUCUGAUUAGCUAGUUGGAGGGGUAACGGCCCACCAAGGCGAUGAUCAGUAGCCGGUCUGAGAGGAUGAACAGCCACAUUGGGACUGAGACACGGCCCAGACUCCUACGGGAGGCAGCAGUGGGGAAUCUUCCGCAAUGGACGAAAGUCUGACGGAGCAACGCCGCGUGAGUGAUGACGGCCUUCGGGUUGUAAAGCUCUGUUAAUCGGGACGAAUGGUUCUUGUGCGAAUAGUGCGAGGAUUUGACGGUACCGGAAUAGAAAGCCACGGCUAACUACGUG
This 510-nucleotide ribosomal RNA is filed under the name uncultured bacterium. RNAcentral's name for it is "partial 16S ribosomal RNA". It matches the Rfam family "Bacterial small subunit ribosomal RNA", at positions 28 to 507 of the family's 1533-position model. The record is from RNAcentral.